RNAcentral lists this ribosomal RNA (549 nucleotides) under uncultured eukaryote. RNAcentral describes it as "bacterial SSU rRNA". It matches the Rfam family "Eukaryotic small subunit ribosomal RNA", at positions 4 to 569 of the family's 1831-position model. The record is from RNAcentral.
CUGGUUGAUCCUGCCAGUAGUCAUAUGCUUGUCUUCCCAAGAUUAAGCCAUGCAUGUCCAAGUAUAAGCCCUUAUAGGGUGAAACUGCGGAUGGCUCAUUAAAUCGGUUGGAAUCUACACGAGAGUGUAUUUAGAUGGAUAACCACGGAAAAUCUGCGGCUAAUACAUGCAUAAAAGCACCGCAAGGUGUAGCAUUUAUCAGCUUGAGAUGGAUGCAGGGGCAACUCUGCUUGGUGAGUCACGAUAAAGAUGCUGACCGUAUGAGCUUGACUCGACGGCAGUUCGUUCGACUUUCCGCCCUAUCAACUUUGGAUGGUAGUGUAGUGGACUACCAUGGUGUUUACGGGUGACGGAGAAUUAGGGUUCGAUUCCGGAGAGGGAGCCUGAGAGAUGGCUACUACUUCCAAGGAAGGCAGCAGGCGCGAAAAUUGCCAAACCUACAAAGUAGGAGGCAGUGACAAUAAAUAUCUGCGGGGCUUAUGCUCCGACUGGAAUGAGAUGGAUGUAAAUAAUCCUACGAGUAUCGAUUGGAGGAAAAGUCUGGUGCCA